AAAAACUAAGAGCAUCCAAACUAUCAACGCGCGCCCCAUUCUUUUCUCUAACUUAGCGGAGCAGCGAGAAGAAACCACCAGCAUCUUCUUCAUCUGCGCCCUCAGCCCUCCUCCGCCAUCUUCUUCAUCUAUGCUAGAACCUUCAUCUACCAUCCUCCGCCCUCCUCCGCCAUCUUCUUCAUCUGCGGUGAGAACCCUCAUCUACCAUCCUCCGCCCUCCUCCGUCAUCUUCUUCAUCUGCGGCGAGAACCCUCAUCUACCCUCCUCCACCCUCCUCCAAAAUCUUUCUGCGGCAAACCCUAAACUCCCUCUCCUCCCCUAUCGAUCCGCCCCUCCUGGUUGCACCGCUUCCUCUGACCCCCGGCCAGGGCGAUCUCCCCCACCGCCCUCAUCGCCUCCUUCGAGAGAUCGGUAUCCGCAUAAACGCCACACAUGAGGGAGGCCAAGGAUAUCGAGGGUGGACCGACCCUCGACCGGACCACCUUCUUCCCUGGGAUCUUGUCGCUGGCGCUGGCCUCGCUCCUGUCCAUCUCCCCCACUCUUUUCAUGCCUCUAGGGUUCGAUCCAGGAGUGAUUAGCUUCUUCCAUGAGUUGAGCCCAAUUUUCGUCAACAACAACUUCAACAGCAACUUCAUCAACAAUAGCCCCGUCACCUCUCCACUCCUACCGUGCCUUCCCCGGAGCCUUUUGGGAUCUGAGCCAAUUUCCAGAUUUCUGACCAAAGAUCAAGCUUUAAUUUGUUCAUUAUAAAAACAAGAUCGUGAUUGCGAUCCCUGUUGCUACUCCGACUACCCGCUAACCUUCGAGUUUCCCGUUCACAAAGGUUUGAAAUUUGUUCAUUCUUUCUCAUUUUCUUUAUGCUUGUCUCUCAAUGUUGUGUUCUUUGUUCUAAAAUUAUCAAAAUCCUCACAAAAUAAACAAAUUUUCUAAACUUGUUUAAAAUUCUAAACAUUGUUUCCAUAUUCAUGUUUAUUCUAAACAUUGUUCAAGUAAUUUAUUUACUUCUACAUGGGUAUGCCCACACCUUAUUUUACAUAAGCUUUUGCACAUGAACUUGGAGCCAGAGUGUUGGUCUAAAAGAGUUGAUUCUCCAACAUAGGUAUGGCGGGCUAGAUGAAGCAUCGCAACUGGUCAACCAUGUAUACUUUAUCCUUUUUACGAAACUUUAAUUCCUUGUAAGAUCAAAAUCAUAUCCUAGAGUCUUAUUCUUUUUAGGAAAAAUCAUAUUUAGUGCUUGUUGUCUUGUUUAUAGCACAUAUGUAGUGAGAGCUUUAUUACCUGGGUUUUCUAAACAUGACAUGAAGCUUUUGUUCCUGACUAUCAGAAAUAAAGUUGAGCAAGCUACUUAUGUCUUGCCCACAUAUGUUGCAAGACAAUUAAUGAAUAAUUGAAUGUCUUGACUUUAUUAUUUCAAUAAUUUUGUUCUUAAAAUUCUUAGUGGAGUUGUUAUUAGCAUGUUGCAAAUUAUUUAUUAAUAAAAAAACUUUCAAUAUGAAUAAAAAGAACCUGCACUUGAUUCCCUCAUAGAUGUUGAGCAUUCCAGAGAGAGUUUUGGUCUUAUCAAGAACAUGAAUGCUGCUCCUGAAACAAAAAAAAAGAGAGAGAUUAAAACCAACAUCUCACUUUGGUUUUCUUUUGACAUAAAUUAAAGCAACAGCUCUUCCAAGUCUUCUUUUCUUGGUCAGAGUACACGCUCUUCAAUGUAAUCUCAAUAUGAUGAAGCCAGAAAUGGAGCAAAUUUGUCUACUCGUAUGUAUAGGUCGUGUAUGUUGGUAUACAUAUUUGGGAUCAUUGUGGAUUUUUUUCAUGUACAUGUGGAUAUACAUUUUGGUUAUAUACUCUUAGGAUUUGUGGAUAUAUACUUGUGGAUUGUGUUUCAAUAAAAUUGUGUUUUUU
Long non-coding RNA from Zingiber officinale, 1896 nucleotides. RefSeq lists it as uncharacterized. Lineage: Eukaryota; Viridiplantae; Streptophyta; Magnoliopsida; Zingiberales; Zingiberaceae. The transcript has 3 exons. The record is from RefSeq and is a predicted model, not a curated record.